RNAcentral lists this ribosomal RNA (460 nucleotides) under uncultured bacterium. Its description in RNAcentral is "partial 16S ribosomal RNA". It matches the Rfam family "Bacterial small subunit ribosomal RNA", at positions 338 to 795 of the family's 1533-position model. The record is from RNAcentral.
CCUACGGGUGGCAGCAGUGAGGAAUAUUGGUCAAUGGCCGGAAGGCUGAACCAGCCAUGCCGCGUGAAGGUCAGUGCCCUAUGGGCGUUAAACUUCUUUUGUGCGGGAGCAAUAAUGGUCACGUGUGGCCAGACGAGAGUACCGUACGAAUAAGCAUCGGCUAACUCCGUGCCAGCAGCCGCGGUAAUACGGGGAAUGAAAGCGUUAUCCGGGUUUAUUGGGUUUAAAGGGUGCGUAGGCUGUGAGGUAAGUCAGCGGUGAAAUGCCCCGGCUCAACGGGGUGAAGUGCCAUUGAUACUGCCUGGCUGGAAUGCGGAUGCCGUGGGAGGAAUGUGUGGUGUAGCGGUGAAAUGCAUAGAUAUCACACAGAACACCGAUUGCGAAGGCAUCUCACGAAUCCGCGAUUGACGCUGAUGCACGAAAGCGUGGGUAUCAAACAGGAUUAGAUACCCCUGUAGUC